Molecule: long non-coding RNA, 3389 nt
Organism: Pteropus alecto (black flying fox)
Lineage: Eukaryota; Metazoa; Chordata; Mammalia; Chiroptera; Pteropodidae
Exons: 2
Source: RefSeq, a predicted model, not a curated record
AGGCGGGCAGCCCGCGACUGCUCCCUCCUGCCCGCUUCCUGGAGCAGGAACUGGGGCGCCAGCCUCAAACCCGACGCUUAACGCGCACCGGCCUGCGACGAGCAGGGGCUGCUUGGAGCCCGCGCGGCGCCGUCUUAGAAACCCAUCCUCCUCCACUACCAGAUGUUGAGCUUCUUCAGGAUCAGUCCCUUGGCAGUGAUAUCAGCAAAAAUGGCGAGUAAGGAACUCCAAGGACAUGUACGGCCGCAUAAACAGCAAAGAAGUUGGCAGAAGUUGGCAGAACCAAGUUUAUGUGAACUCUGGGAACUAGUCAAACAUUACAGUAACCAGACAAAUACUUAAUCAAGAAACAGGUUUUUGAAGCUCAAUAGAAGGGCUUUGUGUCAUUUAAACUUAUAAUGGCCCCAUUUCCUCAUUCUCAGUUCAGUGGCAGUUUUGAAGAUAAUCAACAUUUCUAGUGUAGAUUCCUGGUGCCAGAGAGAGGACGACCUUGUCCUCCAAGACUUGUGAUAGUUUGUUUUAAACUUUCUAUUAGCUCCCUGAAGCACUGGUGCAAAGAAAGACUUCUGUGUUUCACCUAACCCAGAACUCUUCUGAGGCAACGAGGUGACUGCUCAAGGGGCAUUUGUCAAAAACAUUUAAAGGAAAAUUUAUUAGCUGCUGCCAACUAGGAAGACAUAAAAAUUGGGGCAACCAAUAGACACACAAAAUCGUAGGAGGGAAGACUAAAGAGUGAGAUACCUUGGAGAAUAAAGUCUUUGAAAAUUUCCCGCGUAUUCCUGAGAAUCUAAAAGAGCACAUGCAUGCACUAAAGUAGAUUUGUAAUUUGCACAGCUGAAUGUUGAAGGUGUGGCAAAGACUGAAAGUUUUUAUUUAUUUAUUUUUUGGUCCUAGGCAUUUAAGGAAAUCUCUGUUGAAUCACUAGUUGACCUCUAAGCAAACAAAAAUAUCAAUGGCCACACACAGGAAUACAAAGUUUACAAAAUUAGUUCAGAAAAGUCAUUAAACAACAGCAACCAAAACAAGUAGCAACAACAAACUCUAAGGAAGGAGGAAAAUCUGAUUUCUAGAUUUGCCACAUUAUAAUAAAAUGUCCAGUUUUCAACAAAAAUUACAAAGCAGACAUAGAAUCGAGACAGUAUGGCCCAAUACCCAGGAAAAAAAAUUAAUAGAAACUGUCCUCAAGGAUGCACACAUAUUGGACUCACUAGACAAAGACUUUCCAUUAACUAUUAAAUAUUUAAAUAUGCUGCAAGAGCUAAAGGAAACCAUAGACAAAGAACUAAAAGAAAUCAAGAAAGCAAUGUCUCACCAAAUAGAGAAUAUCAGUAAAGAGAUUGAAAUUACAAAUAGCAACCAAAUAGAAAUUCUGGAAUGGAAGAGUACAAUAACUGAAACUAAGAAUUCACUGGAGGAGUUCAGCAGCAGAUACGAAUAGUCAGAAGAAAGAAUCAGCAGACUUCAAGAUAGGUCAAUUAAGAUUACCCAAUUCGAAGAGCAGAAAGGAAAAAAUACAGAAAAAUGAAUAGAGCCCGAGACCAGUGGGACAACGUCAAGCAAAUCAAGAUAUGCAUAAUGAGCAUCCCAGAAGGAGCGGGGAGAGAGAGAGGGGACAAAAGAAUAUUUGAAGAAAUAAUGGUCAAAAACUUUCGAAAUUUGAUGAAGGAUUUGAAUCUAGAUGCCCUGGAAGCUCAACAAAUAAAAGGAUAAACUCAGACCCACACCAAGACAUAUAAUCACACUGUCAAAAGUCAUAGACAAAGAAUCCUGAAGUGAGAAGCGAGUCUUACAUUCAGGGUCCUUAAUAAGAUUAACUUGAUUUUUUUUCACCAGAAACCGUGGAAGCCAGGAGGGAGGGAGUCAGAUGACAUAUUCAAGAGUUUAAAGAAAAACUGUCAGCCAAUAAUUCGAUAUUCAGCAAAAUUAUCCUUCACAAGUGAAAGAGAAAUAAGACGUUCUCAAAAUAAAAAGUUUGUCACUAGAAUACCUGCCUUACAAGAAAUACUAAAGAGAGUUCUUCAUCUUGAAGAGAAACUGACAGUAACUUGAAUCCAUGUGAAAUAAAAAACACCGUUAGAGGUAACUAGGUAGAUAUAAAAGGGUUACUGUAUUUUGGAUUAGUAACUAUGAUUUAAAAGAACAGAAAAAGCAAUUAUAAGUCUACAUUAUCGAGCACACAAUGCAUAAAGAUAAUUUAUAAUAACAUAAGAGGGUAAGGAUGAAGCCUAGGAGCAAACAGUUUUUUUACUAUUGAAACUGAGUCAGUUUUUAUCCAAAUACAUUGUUGUAAGUUCAUUAUAAUCCUGAGGGUAACUAUUGAGAGAAUAACUAAAAAUUAUGUAGUAAAAUAAAUGAGAAAGGAAUCAAAAUGUAAUCUAACAAAUGAAGUAGUGGAGGAUUUGGGCAACAAAAAAAAUUACAACAUGAAAAACAAAUGGCAAAGUAAAAAUUUCCUUGUCACUGAUUACAUUAAAUGGAAAUUCAUGAAACUAAUUAGCAGGCAGAGAUUGGCAAAAUGAACUUUUCCAAUUCUAACUACAUCCUGUGUAUAAGCGAUUCAGUUUAGAACCAAAGACAAAUGGGUUAAAAGUGAAAAGAUGGGAAAAGAUACUCCAAGAUAUCUCAAGUGUAUGUGGAACAGUCUCCAGCAUAGAAUAUAUGUCCACAAAACAAGGCUUACUAUAUUUUAAAAGGUUAAAAUCUACCAAGUAUCAUCUCUGAGCACAAUGGAAUGAAACUAGAAAUAGCACACCUUAAACCACCAAUGGGUCAAAGAAGUCAAAAGAGAAAUUAGAAAAUAAUUUUAGAUAAUUUUUCUUUUAAUAAAAGCAGUAACGGAAUGCAGCAAAAGCAGUGCCCAGAGGGAAAUUUAUAGCUAUAAAUGCCUACAUUUAAAAAGAUCUAGAAUCAGUAACCUAACCUUCCAAAGUAAACCCAAAGCUAGCAGAAAGAAGGAAAUAAUAAAGAUUAGAGGAGAGGUAAAUAAACCAUAGAAAACAAUGCAACCAAAAGCUGGUUCUUUGAAAAGAUUGAUAAAAUUAACAAACCUUUUUUGACCAAGAAAAAAAGAUUCAAAACUAAAAUUAGGAAUUAAGGGGGGCAUUAUCACCAACCUUACAGAAAUAAAAAGAAUUAUAAGAACACUAUUAAUUGUAUGCCAACCAGUUAGAUUAGUUAGAUGAAAUGUAUAAAUUCCUAAAGACAAACUAUGAAAACUGGCUCAAGAAAUAGAAUAGUCUUAGAACAGUACAGGUAAAUAGAUUCAAUCAAUAACCAAAAGACUUCCAUCAAAGGAAAGCUAGAACCAUAUGACUUCACUGGUGAGUUCAAUCAAAGAUUUAAAAACAUCAGUCCUUUCCAAACUUUUACCAAAAAAAAAAAAAAAAAAA